RNAcentral lists this ribosomal RNA (251 nucleotides) under uncultured prokaryote. Its description in RNAcentral is "partial 16S rRNA". It matches the Rfam family "Bacterial small subunit ribosomal RNA", at positions 525 to 775 of the family's 1533-position model. The record is from RNAcentral.
ACGGAGGGUGCAAGCGUUAAUCGGAAUUACUGGGCGUAAAGCGCACGCAGGCGGUCUGUCAAGUCGGAUGUGAAAUCCCCGGGCUCAACCUGGGAACUGCAUUCGAAACUGGCAGGCUUGAGUCUUGUAGAGGGGGGUAGAAUGCCAGGUGUAGCGGUGAAAUGCGUAGAGAUCUGGAGGAACACCGAUGGCGAAGGCGGCCUGCUGGACAAAUACUGACGCUGAGGUGCGAAAGCGUGGGGAGCAAACAG